Molecule: transfer RNA, 91 nt
Filed under: Clostridium sp. 2-1
Lineage: Bacteria; Bacillati; Bacillota; Clostridia; Eubacteriales; Clostridiaceae
Description: tRNA-Ser
Source: RNAcentral
GACGAUUUAACGGAGUUUUAACGCUUUUGACGCCUGGAAAGCGUGUAUAGGGGCAACUCUAUCAGGGGUUCAAAUCCCCUUCUCUCCGCCA